CCUUCGCACAUGUAGUACCUUGUGCAAUCAUUUUUGUCAGAGUGGUAUGAGAUGUGGUUGUCCUCUGAGUCGCAAACCACUUCAUUUGCUGUAACAAGCGGUUACACAUGGUGCUCAGAUACGUAAAUCGGUACAUUGUGAUGAACACAGCGUCGCCUGCAGGCGAUGAGAUAAUUUUUCAUGACUUUGAAUUCACCUUGUUCAUCAAACUCCGCUCGUCGUCAAAUCCAACCCAUUGAUCGUCUCUGUACGCGAAAGGAACCUGCUGUUCGCUAUCCCAAACUAAAGUAGUAUUGUCUUCAUUGAGGAAUGAGCACACCU
This is a long non-coding RNA of Neodiprion fabricii, 321 nucleotides long. RefSeq lists it as uncharacterized. Lineage: Eukaryota; Metazoa; Arthropoda; Insecta; Hymenoptera; Diprionidae. The record is from RefSeq and is a predicted model, not a curated record. The transcript has 2 exons.